RNAcentral lists this ribosomal RNA (233 nucleotides) under uncultured bacterium. Its description in RNAcentral is "partial 16S ribosomal RNA". It matches the Rfam family "Bacterial small subunit ribosomal RNA", at positions 794 to 1025 of the family's 1533-position model. The record is from RNAcentral.
UCCACGCCCUAAACGAUGAACACUAGUCGUCGGGAUGCUAGUCAUCUCGGUGAUGCACUUAACAGAUUAAGUGUUCCGCCUGGGGAGUACGGUCGCAAGAUUAAAACUCAAAGGAAUAGACGGGGACCCGCACAAGUGGUGGAGCAUGUGGUUUAAUUCGAAGAUACGCGAAGAACCUUACCUAGCCUUGACAUUGAAGAAACACAGUAGAGAUACAGUGGUGCCCUUCGGGG